CUGAUUACAACUAAAGAUGAUAUUAGCUACUUGUUUGAUAUUUCUAUUCAAAUCCCCCUAUUUAGUUUUCCAAUUUUACCUUUUGAUUACAAUAGAUAGGAGCUAGGAUCCUACGUAUUCCCUUGGUAUUUGAGCCCAACCUUUAUUAGGUUACUAUAUUGGACAGUGACUGUUUAAUCUUCAGAGUAAAGGUAUAUCUUGGGUGUUAUAAAUUUUGGCUUCAUUAUCAAGGAAUAC
Molecule: long non-coding RNA, 237 nt
Filed under: Capsicum annuum
Lineage: Eukaryota; Viridiplantae; Streptophyta; Magnoliopsida; Solanales; Solanaceae
Description: long non-coding RNA (CANN_LNC001088)
Source: RNAcentral